GGGGGGGGGGGGGGGGGGGGGGGGGGGGGGGGGGGGGGGCGGGGGGGGCGGGGUGGGGGGGGGGGCGCGGGGGGCGGGCGGGUGGGGGACGCGGGGGUCACCGGCCGGUGACUUUGGGAUACCUUCAGGGACCUGGGGCUAAUCCCGGAUAGGAGCUCCUGCUGCAGGGUGGGGUGUGGCAAGUUUCGGCGGUUGGGGAUGGACUCGCGGCUUAUCAGCUUGUUGGUGGGGUAGUGGCUUACCAAGGCUUUGACGGGUAGCCGGCCUGAGAGGGUGACCGGCCACAUUGGGACUGAGAUACGGCCCAGACUCCUACGGGAGGCAGCAGUGGGGAAUAUUGCACAAUGGGCGGAAGCCUGAUGCAGCAACGCCGCGUGCGGGAUGACGGCCUUCGGGUUGUAAACCGCUUUCGCCUGUGACGAAGCGUGAGUGACGGUAAUGGGUAAAGAAGCACCGGCUAACUACGUG
RNAcentral lists this ribosomal RNA (468 nucleotides) under uncultured bacterium. Its description in RNAcentral is "partial 16S ribosomal RNA". The stretch from base 53 to 468 matches the Rfam family "Bacterial small subunit ribosomal RNA", at positions 39 to 507 of the family's 1533-position model. The record is from RNAcentral.